UCCAGUAUGAUUCCUGUUCCACCCAAACUUUAAAACCAGCUGCCUGACAACUGCAGUAGCAUUUCUGUUCAGGCAGCAGGGAGGAGUCAAUUGACUUCAUGACUCUUUAUAAUCUUCCUGAUUCCUUCUAAACUCUUAAUUCUACAGGUGUCAAAGGCCCUCUCUCUUUUUAAUAGUCUUAAUGGUUUGCUAAUCAGGCUAUCCUUUCUGCUGCAAUACUGCUGUCUGUUAGCUGCUCUUGGAACCCUAUUAAGUACCACAUGAAAAACUGACACAUUGGAUAUGAUGCCUGCCAAAUGGUAACUUGCCAAGAUCUGGAGAAGACUUUGAGAGAUGGAUAUCCGGAUCCACUUCAGAUGGCUAGAACUUGGCCCUUGCUAACUUCAAAGGUUUGAAUGCCAUGAGCAGUGCAGCAAGGAUGUACCUUCUUUUUCAUACAGUGUUCCCUAGAAUAAGAUACCUGGCUUUUGAAAGGCAGAGUGAAGAAAAGAGAUCUUUCCUUCUGCUGUUCUGCAUGUCCUGCCAGGGUGACAGCAGCAGUGCAGACAAAUAUUCAGGUUUGAAACUCUAGAAGGUGAGACAGAGUGGACUACAGUGAAAAAGGUGUAAUUCCAACAUCACACACACAAAUCUAGAAUUUUGAAAAGCGGGGUGCAGAUGGUGUUGUGCAUCAUCACCAGGGAUCCUGGUUUUCUGUUUAAAAAUCCCAAAUUCUCUGAUUUUAAGCCCCCAAAUCUGUGCUUUUCUGUGAUUAAAAUGAAAUGGCACUAUAUAUAUAGGUAUCUGUUGAACAUAGUGUUUUACUGCUUUACAAUUGUAAAUAUAUCAAUCUGGAAGCCUACCAGAGCUUCAAUCAUUAAAAUAAAUUCUAAAUUUU
This is a long non-coding RNA of Alligator mississippiensis (American alligator), 877 nucleotides long. RefSeq lists it as uncharacterized. Lineage: Eukaryota; Metazoa; Chordata; Crocodylia; Alligatoridae. The transcript is spliced from 3 exons. The record is from RefSeq and is a predicted model, not a curated record.